UUCUUGGUCAUUUAGAGGAAGUAAAAGUCGUAACAAGGUUUCCGUAGGUGAACCUGCGGAAGGAUCAUUAAAGAAAUUUAAUAAUUUUGAAAAUGGAUUUUUUUGUUUUGGCAAGAGCAUGAGAGCUUUUACUGGGCAAGAAGACAAGAGAUGGAGAGUCCAGCCGGGCCUGCGCUUAAGUGCGCGGUCUUGCUAGGCUUGUAAGUUUCUUUCUUGCUAUUCCAAACGGUGAGAGAUUUCUGUGCUUUUGUUAUAGGACAGUUAAAACCGUUUCAAUACAACACACUGUGGGGUUUUCAUAUCUUUGCAACUUUUUCUUUGGGCAUUCGAGCAAUCGGGGCCCAGAGGUAACAAACACAAACAAUUUUAUCUAUUCAUUAAAUUUUUGUCAAAAACAAGAAUUUUCGUAACUGGAAAUUUUAAAAUAUUAAAAACUUUCAACAACGGAUCUCUUGGUUCUCGCAUCGAUGAAGAACGCAGCGAAAUGCGAUACGUAAUGUGAAUUGCAGAAUUCCGUGAAUCAUCGAAUCUUUGAACGCACAUUGCGCCCCUUGGUAUUCCAGGGGGCAUGCCUGUUUGAGCGUCAUUUCCUUCUCAAACAUUCUGUUUGGUAGUGAGUGAUACUCUUUGGAGUUAACUUGAAAUUGCUGGCCUUUUCAUUGGAUGUUUUUUUUCCAAAGAGAGGUUUCUCUGCGUGCUUGAGGUAUAAUGCAAGUACGGUCGUUUUAGGUCUUACCAACUGCGGCUAAUCUUUUUUUAUACUGAGCGUAUUGGAACGUUAUCGAUAAGAAGAGAGCGUCUAGGCGAACAAUGUUCUUAAAGUUUGACCUCAAAUCAGGUAGGAGUACCCGCUGAACUUAAGCAUAUCAAUAAGCGGAGGAA
This 882-nucleotide ribosomal RNA is filed under the name uncultured fungus. Its description in RNAcentral is "eukaryotic LSU rRNA". The stretch from base 433 to 586 matches the Rfam family "5.8S ribosomal RNA". Lineage: Eukaryota; Fungi. The record is from RNAcentral.